This 251-nucleotide ribosomal RNA is filed under the name uncultured bacterium. RNAcentral describes it as "partial 16S ribosomal RNA". It matches the Rfam family "Bacterial small subunit ribosomal RNA", at positions 524 to 774 of the family's 1533-position model. The record is from RNAcentral.
UACGUAGGGGGCAAGCGUUAUCCGGAUUUACUGGGUGUAAAGGGAGCGUAGACGGCAAUGCAAGUCCGGAGUGAAAGCCCGGGGCCCAACCCCGGGACUGCUCUGGAAACUGUAGAGCUGGAGUGCGGGAGGGGCAGGCGGAAUUCCUAGUGUAGCGGUGAAAUGCGUAGAUAUUAGGAGGAACACCGGCGGCGAAGGCGGCCUGCUGGACCGAAACUGACGUUGAGGCUCGAAAGCGUGGGGAGCAAACA